Molecule: transfer RNA, 69 nt
Filed under: Hemitragus jemlahicus (Himalayan tahr)
Lineage: Eukaryota; Metazoa; Chordata; Mammalia; Artiodactyla; Bovidae
Description: tRNA-His
Rfam family: tRNA
About the family: Transfer RNA (tRNA) molecules are approximately 80 nucleotides in length. Their secondary structure includes four short double-helical elements and three loops (D, anti-codon, and T loops).
Source: RNAcentral
GUAAAUAUAGUUUAAAAAAACAUUAGACUGUGAAUCUAAUAAUAGAAGCCCAUCACCUUCUUAUUUACC